This is a non-coding RNA of Paramuricea clavata, 75 nucleotides long. The record is from the annotation of a GenBank genome assembly. NCBI's taxonomy places the organism in Eukaryota, Metazoa, Cnidaria, Anthozoa, Malacalcyonacea, Plexauridae.
UGCUUCGUGGCCUAACCGAUAGGGCGUUGGCUUUUGUAAGCCGAAGAUUGCGGGUUCGAAUCCCGUUCGAGGUAA